This 300-nucleotide unclassified non-coding RNA is filed under the name Cercozoa sp. RNAcentral's name for it is "partial contains small subunit ribosomal RNA, internal transcribed spacer 1, and 5.8S ribosomal RNA". The stretch from base 1 to 47 matches the Rfam family "Eukaryotic small subunit ribosomal RNA", at positions 1785 to 1831 of the family's 1831-position model. The record is from RNAcentral. Lineage: Eukaryota; Cercozoa.
AAAGUCGUAACAAGGUUUCCGUAGGUGAACCUGCGGAAGGAUCAUUACAACGUAUCCACGUAUAAACCUUUGUGAACAUGUUUAACCGCGUAGUUGUAGCGCCGCAAAGCAGUACACGAUUCGGAAAUAAAGUGUACUGCCCGCUUCUCUCUCGCAGAGAAGGGACGCUAUGGCUGUGUUUUUCCGUUACAUUAUUAACCACUGUAACUUUCUAUGUACUUACGGAUUAAGGCGAAAGCUUUUCUUCGAUAAAUAUAAGAAAUUAUAGCACAACUCUUAGCAACGGAUAUCUAGGCUCUC